Molecule: non-coding RNA, 1055 nt
Organism: Misgurnus anguillicaudatus (oriental weatherfish)
Lineage: Eukaryota; Metazoa; Chordata; Actinopteri; Cypriniformes; Cobitidae
Source: RefSeq, a predicted model, not a curated record
GUAUAGAAGCACAAGAGGCGAAGCUCUGUUUUGUUAUGGGUAACAGUCAGUAGAUGGCGCUGCGGAGCCACGGCCGCCAUUAGGGACUGAAAGCACAACUGUGAAGAUGUGCAAAGUGGUCGAAACGCAAGCAGUGUUCUGCAAUAAAUUGCAAAAAUUAUCAGUCCACCAGAAGCGAUUUGGCAUUUCAUCGGUUUCCAAAGGAUGCACAAAGGUGUGCCAGGUGGGUCCAGAAUCUAAGGAAUGCAUCCCUUCAUGGCAUACCUUUGGAUCAGCUGCAUCGGACCUACAGGGUGUGCAGUGCCCAUUUCCACAGCAGCCAGUUCAAAAGACCAUCUGAUGUCCAUGGUGGGCUGAACUGGGAUGCUGUGCCCACAAGAAUACAGGCCCCUAACCCACCUCCCCCACUAGAUGUCGAGAGGAAGCGUAAACCUCCGAAGACACGCCAGGAGUUGCCACGUAAAAAACGCAAGCAGAGUCAAGUUCCUCCUCCCUCCAAAGACCAGCAUACCGGGGAAGCUGUAGCGGGGCCUUCAUCACGGGCGCACUACACUGAGGAAGCUGUAGCGGGGCCUUCAUCAAUCAGUUAUUGUUCAUUUUUAGAAAUCUAUACAAAACUUGAACUGGCUAGUAGCUGACUAAUGCUUCCAUUCUAUGUCAGUGCCUCUUCUCUCACAAAAAGAAAAAAAUACAACAAAACUUAAAUGCUCACACAAUAGAUGGUGGUGUCUGAUUAAUUACUGAGAUCUUAUGGCUCCAUUUUAGUACUGUUUAUAGUUCAUGUGUGCACUUGCUAGAUUGCACAUCUUUUUUGUACCUUUCCGCCUGUAAUAGGACAUUCACAGAUUGUUUUUGUUCUUGCCAUUGAAACGUUCACUGUGUGCACUUUCAAUGAAGAUGUUGAAAAAACUAGUUAAUAUUUUUGUGAUAUUCUAUGUAAAAGAUUAACUCGUAAGAAAUGUUCAUUUAUAAUUUUAUUUAUUUAUUUUUCCAAAUCAUAUAUGGUGAUGUUCAAUCAUUUCAAAAUCAACAUUUGAAUAAAUGUUAUUACUGUG